AAGGCUUUAAGUUAUUUAAACUAUUAUCCUUCAAAGUUAAAAAUAUAAUUUUCGUUGUAAGCCUUA
This 66-nucleotide transfer RNA is filed under the name Calliopsida cinnabarina. Its description in RNAcentral is "tRNA-Trp". The record is from RNAcentral. Lineage: Eukaryota; Metazoa; Arthropoda; Insecta; Hemiptera; Cicadidae.